RNAcentral lists this transfer RNA (66 nucleotides) under Thaparocleidus varicus. RNAcentral's name for it is "tRNA-Thr". The record is from RNAcentral. Lineage: Eukaryota; Metazoa; Platyhelminthes; Monogenea; Dactylogyridea; Ancylodiscoididae.
GUGAUUAUAGUUUAUUAUAAAAAUAUUAUUUUUGUAAAAUAAAGAAAAUUUUUAAGUUUGGUCACU